RNAcentral lists this non-coding RNA (148 nucleotides) under Homo sapiens (human). Lineage: Eukaryota; Metazoa; Chordata; Mammalia; Primates; Hominidae. The record is from Rfam by way of RNAcentral.
GCUGGGCGUGGUGGCGCAUGCCUGUAGUCCCAUCUACUUGGGAGGCUGAGGCAGGAGAAUCGCUUGAGCCCGGGAGGCAGAGGUUGCAGUGAGCCAAGAUCACACCACUGCACUCCAGCCUGGGCGACAGAGUGAGACUCCGUCUCAA